GUGACCUCAAAUCAGGUAGGACUACCCGCUGAACUUAAGCAUAUCAAUAAGCGGAGGAAAAGAAACUAACAAGGAUUCCCCUAGUAACUGCGAGUGAAGCGGGAAAAGCUCAAAUUUAAAAUCUGGCAGUCUUUUGGCUGUCCGAGUUGUAAUCUAGAGAAGUGUUAUCCGCGCUGGACCGUGUACAAGUCUCCUGGAAUGGAGCAUCAUAGAGGGUGAGAAUCCCGUCUUUGACAUGGACUACCAGGGCUUUGUGAUGCGCUCUCAAAGAGUCGAGUUGUUUGGGAAUGCAGCUCAAAAUGGGUGGUAAAUUCCAUCUAAAGCUAAAUAUUGGCGAGAGACCGAUAGCGAACAAGUACCGUGAGGGAAAGAUGAAAAGAACUUUGGAAAGAGAGUUAAACAGUACGUGAAAUUGCUGAAAGGGAAACGCUUGAAGUCAGUCGCGUCGUCCAGGGAUCAACCUUGCUUUUGCUUGGUGCACUUUCUGGUUUGACGGGUCAGCAUCAAUUUUGACUAUUGGAAAAAGGCUAAGGGAAUGUGGCAUCCUUGGAUGUGUUAUAGCCCUUGGUCACAUACAAUGGUUGGGAUUGAGGAACUCAGCACGCCGCAAGGCCGGGUUUUAAACCACGUACGUGCUAGGAUGCGCA
Molecule: ribosomal RNA, 647 nt
Filed under: Cortinarius boulderensis
Lineage: Eukaryota; Fungi; Basidiomycota; Agaricomycetes; Agaricales; Cortinariaceae
Description: eukaryotic LSU rRNA
Rfam family: Eukaryotic large subunit ribosomal RNA
Source: RNAcentral